AGCAAAGGCGCAAAAGAAAACGCGGAGACGAGACUUACCUCUGGAAAAAUUGACAACAAUACCCAUACCGUGCUCCUACUUCUUAGGGAGAGCUGGAGCCGGAAACCCCGAACAACUGUUAACAAUGGAUAACUUGGCUCUC
Molecule: unclassified non-coding RNA, 142 nt
Filed under: fungal sp.
Lineage: Eukaryota; Fungi
Description: partial internal transcribed spacer region
Source: RNAcentral